CCUACGGGAGGCUGCAGUGGGGAAUAUUGGACAAUGGGGGGAACCCUGAUCCAGCCAUGCCGCGUGUGUGAAGAAGGCCUUUUGGUUGUAAAGCACUUUAAGUGGGGAGGAGGCUUACCUGGUUAAUACCUGGGCUAAGUGGACGUUACCCACAGAAUAAGCACCGGCUAACUCUGUGCCAGCAGCCGCGGUAAUACAGAGGGUGCGAGCGUUAAUCGGAUUUACUGGGCGUAAAGCGCGCGUAGGUGGUUAAUUAAGUCAAAUGUGAAAUCCCCGAGCUUAACUUGGGAAUUGCAUUCGAUACUGGUUAGCUAGAGUAUGGGAGAGGAUGGUAGAAUUCCAGGUGUAGCGGUGAAAUGCGUAGAGAUCUGGAGGAAUACCGAUGGCGAAGGCAGCCAUCUGGCCUAAUACUGACACUGAGGUGCGAAAGCAUGGGGAGCAAACAGGCUUAGAUACCCCGGUAGUC
RNAcentral lists this ribosomal RNA (466 nucleotides) under uncultured Acinetobacter sp. RNAcentral's name for it is "bacterial SSU rRNA". It matches the Rfam family "Bacterial small subunit ribosomal RNA", at positions 338 to 795 of the family's 1533-position model. Lineage: Bacteria; Pseudomonadati; Pseudomonadota; Gammaproteobacteria; Moraxellales; Moraxellaceae. The record is from RNAcentral.